Long non-coding RNA from Pseudophryne corroboree (corroboree frog), 5211 nucleotides. RefSeq lists it as uncharacterized. The record is from RefSeq and is a predicted model, not a curated record. The transcript is spliced from 5 exons. Lineage: Eukaryota; Metazoa; Chordata; Amphibia; Anura; Myobatrachidae.
AUGGGAUGUGUGCUGCGUAAUCAGUGUGCGCUGCGGCAUAGGCUGUGCACCUGGUGCCAGUGAGGGGAUGGGGUGAGGCUGUAUAGUGCCCUAUAUGUGCCAGGCUCUGCACCGUCUCUGUAACAUGUAGUAAUGGAGAUGAAUGGAGUCAUUCUUCCAGCCACUGAUGUGACCCUGCUUCUUGCACGAUGUUCCUUAUUCAAUGUAACCAGCAUCUACCCAGAAUAUAGUUACAUAUAAUUAAGGCUAUUGGCGAUGAUGGUAUUUCUGCUGUAACGUGCAGCCACUGUGCAUGCCAUGCCGGGUGUCAGAGUGCUUACAUAGAGGACAGCCUUCACACCAAUAAGCCAUGUGAGAGGAAGAAGGAAAAGGUUAAGCCGCGGAACACUGAGUGGGAGGGGCAGAGGCUCCUGGCUGGAUGUGCUGCAAUGACAUUGGCGCGGCAGGAGGAGAAGCUUAGCAGGGAGAUAAGGAAGAGGCUGGAUCAGCAUAACCAGCAGCAGCUGAGCAGAGAGCGGAAGGCACACCUUACUUAUCAAUCCUGUGGCCAUGGCCAGGAGACUGAUUACAGCCGCUAGAACUAUCCUCAGCAGGAGAUGCGGAACUGCGCUUCUACCAGAUUCUAACAAAAUGUGUCUGAGUGAUAGGACAUAGCUCCGUCAUGGUGAAACACAUUGGAUGUUAUCUGCUGGUUAGCUGUCCAAUUCAGAUAAGGUCCAUCCAAAGAAGUCUUAAGCAGCAGAAGGCGCACUUCUGGAACACACCACAAAAAAACAUCUGCCAGCAAAGAAAGCAAGGUCUGAUGUCCAGGGCCAACCACAGCAGGCUACCCCGCCAUGAAGAUUAUCUACUGUUUGUUCGGUGCCCCCACUCCAAAUUUUGGACACACCUCCAAGAUGGCAACCACACUCCCCUCAUCUUGAUUCUUCUAGUCCUGGUACCAGCAUCCCUCCGCAACAACAGCAACACAGUGACAUGGAUGACACAAUCAUGUUAGAAAUGCAUCCAGUAAGCGAAGGAAUCAGCCCCCCAGCACCCGUGAGUACUCCCCCACAGCAAAGCACACCACCAACCCAACACAGCCCAACAACACCAGUAACACAAGUCCCUGAUCAAGUGUUCUGGACCAUUUGGGCUAGACAGCAGGCCACUAAUGAAGAUUGCCUGCGUAGGCAGACCCAAAUGUUUGCAAGCCUACCAUCUCACCUCAGACGAAUCAGCAGAAAUCUGAGUAGGCAAAAUGAAACAAACACAAGAAUUGCAAAUACCAUGGAAAUCAUGCGUGCAGACAUUACACAUGUCAUGGGCAACUUACAGCGCAUAAUGGAAGAACAGCACAGACAACAGCAAAGCUAUAUAAACAUUUUAGAAAGCAACCAAAUGAUCAAUGAAUCCAUGUCCAGAAUUGUAGACAAUCAAAAUGCUGCAACACGUGAACUCAAUGCCACCCUCAGUAACCUCAAUGAAACACUCAGAUCCCUGCAGCAACAGCAAACAAGCAGCAGUUCUGGUACGACUACUCCAAAUGUAACGCCAGUGUCAUCACCACCAAGGCGCUCCACCAGAGCACGCCAACACGACAGUGGUAAAGGCAAAGGCCAGGACAAGCAACCACCCAAAUAAACAUAAAAAAACCACACCCAUUUCUUUAAAGAGAAGAGAAAAAAACACUUACCAAGUGUAUGAUUAACAGAAUAUAUAUAACACUUAGCUCCUUGACAAUUUGUACAACAUCAUUAAUUAUAACUGGUACAAACAACAAAAGGAAUUUUGUACACACAUUUCUUUAUCAUCUUUGUAUUUUUUGUUAGCAGGAAACUGUUGUUUGAGCUGCACAUAGAUGUUAGCAUGCAGAAAGCAGACCACUUGAUUUUUUUCUAAUCAUUACUCUUUCUAGAUUCAAAUCAUUCUUUGAGCCUGCAGGCAGACUAAUUGGCAGCCAGGCAGAUUGUCUUAAGCAGGCAGAAAGCAGACCACUUGAUUUUUUUCUAAUCAUUACUCUUUCUAGAUUCAAAUCAUUCUUUGAGCCUGCAGACAGACUAAUUGGCAGCCAGGCAGAUUGUCUUAAGCAGGCAGAAAGCAGACCACUUGAUUUUUUUCUAAUCAUUACUCUUUCUAGAUUCAAAUCAUUAUUUGAGCCUGCAGACAGACUAAUUGGCAGCCAGGCAGAUUGUCUUAAGCAGGCAGAAAGCAGACCACUUGAUUUUUUUCUAAUCAUUACUUUUUCUAGAUUCUAAUCAUUCUUUGAGCCAGAAGACAGACUAAUUGGCAGCCAGGCAGAUUGUCUUAAGCAGGCAGAAAGCAGACCACUUGAUUUUUUUUUCUAAUCAUUACUCUUUCUAGAUUCUAAUCAUUCUUUGAGCCAGUAGACAGACUAAUUGGCAGCCAGGCAGAUUCAUCCAUGACCAAUACAAUUUACAAUGUGAAUUGUAACUGUUUUACAUUUCUUCUCUAGACGAAUUGACAAGAAAAACACAAUUGAGUUGGCUAAAAGUGUCCUAAUAUGUUGGGAGUAAUAUUUAGAUAAUUCAGUCCGAAAAUGACUGACAUUAUUGUUGUGCCAUGUUUGUGUGUGUUAAAAAUAAGUAAUCAGAUUUAAAAACAUGAUGCAGAAACAACAACAUUUGAAAUAUUUUAAAGUUGAACACAAAUGUGUGUAAUAAUGGAUAUAUGUUGUUAAAUGUUUAUUGCCUUACAAAUCUACAAUUUUGUGCCAGCAAACAUAAGGAAAUAAAUUAUUUUCCAUGAGAGAAGUUUGUGUCCCUUUUAUAGGCAUCCUAAUUCAGGUUAGAAUGAUUUGUAAGUGUCAACACAUGUAAACACGGCUGAAAAAAGCAGGUCUAUUUUUUUGCCGCUUUUUUUACCGAUUCGCAAAAAAAUACGACCGCAAUUGAGCACUCAGAGACUAACACCCAAAUACGAAUGUAUAGUGAAUUCCCGUAUUCCAUGAAAUAACAGCCGCGUUUGACCGAUGGUCUAUUCAUUCGUACUUCGGAACUUUGCCAAUCAAACCAUUACGAAUAGUCCAAACACUGCCGAGAUUGGUGCUUAGUGAAUUCCCGGAUUGGGACUUAGAAAAAAAAAACACAAAUCGGACAAACUCGAUUUCUUAGUAAAUAUUGGCCAUGGUUGGAUUCUGAACCUUCCAAAGUCACAUUCGGAACCAACCCAGAGGUUGUCCUUUCUAGGAAUGAUCCUGGACAUGGAAGUGCAAAAGGUGUUUCUUCCGCAGGAAAAGGCGUUGGUGAUACAAACUAUGGUCCGGGAUGACCAACAAAUUGUGUGCGCUUGAUGUGCUAACAAUUUAUUGUUUAUAUGUAAGCUAAAAUAGAUCAAAUGUGUUUGGAUUCAUUGAAUAAUUGAGAAAUUUGCUUUUAAUAAAAAAUCUUUACUGGGUUCAUAUAUAAUUAAAUAACAAUUUAAUGGUAACAAUUAACUGUACAAUAUAAUAAAAUAAAAUGGUAAUAAAGGACACAGAGCUGGAUAUCUAAAGUCCGUUCUGGAGCAGAGCCAGGAUUAGAAUGUAUUUAAUAUCUUUGGUAUUUGAAGCAACAAUGUUAUUCUUUACCAUAAAAGUAGCCGCGUGUUGAUACUAAAUAGCAGGGAGUGCUACAAUUUGUGAGCACACACAUGUGGAUGACAAAGUCCUGCUAUAAGAUGAAUUUGUAGCAGUAUUGUUUCACCUGUUACCGGCGUCCCGGUCCAGGAGACAGUUCAAUAGGUAAUUACCCCAUCCAGCGGGAUUUGUAUGUAAUACCCAAGCUGUAUAAUAAUGUGCGGUGUAUGCUCACCCUGCAUAUAGCUGCACGUUGCCUCUAUUAACAGUCGUGUCAGUGUCCGAUUCCAAUGUGCGGGAUGGAUAGCACACCUUCUCUCCAAUUGGAGACACCCGCACCGAUGGAUCUGCUGUGUAUAGCCGCCGCUUCCAGCUCACUGGCACUGCACGUGCACGAUGACAGAGAGCCAAAUCGACACCACCAAGGCGCUCCACCAGAGCACGCCAACACGACAGUGGUAAAGGCAAAGGCCAGGACAAGCAACCACCCAAAUAAACAUAAAAAAACCACACCCAUUUCUUUAAAGAGAAGAGAAAAAAACACUUACCAAGUGUAUGAUUAACAGAAUAUAUAUAACACUUAGCUCCUUGACAAUUUGUACAACAUCAUUAAUUAUAACUGGUACAAACAACAAAAGGAAUUUUGUACACACAUUUCUUUAUCAUCUUUGUAUUUUUUGUUAGCAGGAAACUGUUGUUUGAGCUGCACAUAGAUGUUAGCAUGCAGAAAGCAGACCACUUGAUUUUUUUCUAAUCAUUACUCUUUCUAGAUUCAAAUCAUUCUUUGAGCCUGCAGGCAGACUAAUUGGCAGCCAGGCAGAUUGUCUUAAGCAGGCAGAAAGCAGACCACUUGAUUUUUUUCUAAUCAUUACUCUUUCUAGAUUCAAAUCAUUCUUUGAGCCUGCAGACAGACUAAUUGGCAGCCAGGCAGAUUGUCUUAAGAAGGCAGUAAGCAGACCACUUGAUUUUUUUCUAAUCAUUACUCUUUCUAGAUUCAAAUCAUUCUUUGAGCCUGCAGACAGACUAAUUGGCAGCCAGGCAGAUUGUCUUAAGCAGGCAGAAAGCAGACCACUUGAUUUUUUUCUAAUCAUUACUUUUUCUAGAUUCUAAUCAUUCUUUGAGCCAGAAGACAGACUAAUUGGCAGCCAGGCAGAUUGUCUUAAGCAGGCAGAAAGCAGACCACUUGAUUUUUUUUUUCUAAUCAUUACUCUUUCUAGAUUCUAAUCAUUCUUUGAGCCAGUAGACAGACUAAUUGGCAGCCAGGCAGAUUCAUCCAUGACCAAUACAAUUUACAAUGUGAAUUGUAACUGUUUUACAUUUCUUCUCUAGACGAAUUGACAAGAAAAACACAAUUGAGUUGGCUAAAAGUGUCCUAAUAUGUUGGGAGUAAUAUUUAGAUAAUUCAGUCCGAAAAUGACUGACAUUAUUGUUGUGCCAUGUUUGUGUGUGUUAAAAAUAAGUAAUCAGAUUUAAAAACAUGAUGCAGAAACAACAACAUUUGAAAUAUUUUAAAGUUGAACACAAAUGUGUGUAAUAAUGGAUAUAUGUUGUUAAAUGUUUAUUGCCUUACAAAUCUACAAUUUUGUGCCAGCAAACAUAAGGAAAUAAAUUAUUUUCCAUGAGAGAAGUUUGUGUCCCUUUUAUAGGCAUCCUAA